GAACGCUGGCGGCAUGCUUUACACCUGCAAGUCGAACGGUAAUAGGCCUUCGGGUGCUGACGGGUGGCGAACGGGUGAGUAAUGCAUCGGAACGUACCCAGAGGUGGGGGAUAACGCAGCGAAAGCUGUGCUAAUACCGCAUGUGAUCUGAGGAUGAAAGCGGGGGACCGAGCAGCAAUGUUUGGCCUCGCGCCUUUGGAGCGGCCGAUGUCGGAUUAGCUAGUUGGUGGGGUAAAGGCCUACCAAGGCGACGAUCCGUAGCUGGUCUGAGAGGACGACCAGCCACACUGGGACUGAGACACGGCCCAGACUCCUACGGGAGGCAGCAGUGGGGAAUUUUGGACAAUGGGCGCAAGCCUGAUCCAGCAAUGCCGCGUGCGGGAAGAAGGCCUUCGGGUUGUAAACCGCUUUUGGCAGGAACGAAACGGUGUCCGCUAAUACCGGGCGCUAAUGACGGUACCUGCAGAAUAAGCACCGGCUAACUACGUG
RNAcentral lists this ribosomal RNA (489 nucleotides) under uncultured bacterium. Its description in RNAcentral is "partial 16S ribosomal RNA". It matches the Rfam family "Bacterial small subunit ribosomal RNA", at positions 31 to 507 of the family's 1533-position model. The record is from RNAcentral.